CAAAUGGUGUUCCUAAACACCACACUGUUUCGAAUGAAAUGCCAAU
Picea glauca (white spruce) is the source of this 46-nucleotide non-coding RNA. The record is from Rfam. NCBI's taxonomy places the organism in Eukaryota, Viridiplantae, Streptophyta, Pinopsida, Pinales, Pinaceae.